Long non-coding RNA from Felis catus (domestic cat), 1772 nucleotides. RefSeq lists it as uncharacterized. The record is from RefSeq and is a predicted model, not a curated record. The transcript is spliced from 7 exons. Lineage: Eukaryota; Metazoa; Chordata; Mammalia; Carnivora; Felidae.
UCUGGAUUUCCAGCGUCUCUUAAAAUAUCAGAUCUGGAAACUCUAGUCCCUUCUUCCUGGAUAAUAAUUGGAUAAUAUUCCUUGUAGAAAAGCAUAUGUGCUCCACUUAAGCUCACCUCCCAGCAGUCCAUACUGUAUUACACUCCGCUUAUUUCCACUGAUUUAUAUCACUACCUGGCCCCGUAGGCAUUUGAGUUUGCAACCUCUGGCCUGGGUCAUACUUUCUUUGUAGAACAUUACAGAGAUUUCAAAACUUAGCACUCUUCUCCAAAAAGUGAAAAUAAAAAACAUUCAAGACAAACCACUGCCUAUCACAUUUUUAAAUACCGCUAAGGAAUGAAAUUAGGUGAGAAAUACAAGCACAUAUACAAACCCCCCUAUACUAAUUUUGGAUGGAUGGAUAUGUAUAGAUAGAUAGAUAGAUAGAUAGAUAGAUAGAUAGAUAGAUAGAUACACAGACAAAUACACACACACACUUACGUGCAUACUCAAUGGGCCCUUCUACAUAGUACAGUGGAAAGCGAUGGGCUGGAGGUUAGGAGACUUGGGUAACAGAUCCAUGACUGCCUAGCUAGCCGGGUGAUUUCAGCAAAGUCUUUUAAUGUCUCUGAACUUUAUUUCAUUAUCUGUAGAGUGAGGAGGUUAGACCAGAUCUCAGUGGGUUUCCUAUCUCUGAAAAAUCACUGGUUUGAGGUUCUCCAUUCAGAGAAGCAGACAAGAGAGACACAGAUGCAUGUAAUUCAAGUUUAUGCAGGAUUUUUUUUUUUUUUACAACUUACCUCAUCAUUUGUUAAUUUAAGGAAUAAAUCUCCAAGAACUCCUUGGCGUGGCCACUUCAGGACCCUUUCCUGCAGAGCAUGGAGCAAAUCGAGGUGCUGCUGGACAAGGAUUUGGGGGAGAUUAGUCCUUCCUCAGCAAUGGAUCAUAGGAGAACAUCUUAGACAAGCAGGAAGUGACGGCAAGUCGAAGAGAGCUUCCGUGAGCCAAGCACGUUUCUAGCAUCCCUACCUGACAAAUCAGUUGAGAUCUGAAGGACAAGGAAGAGAAGCUGCUGGCUUAGUAUCUCAGAUGUGGAAGCAAAACCACACCCAGAGCACUGCAUUUCUAGAUGUCAUCGAUCCCCAGAAUCAAGGUGGUGGUCCCAAGCCUGCCAUGUGACCUCGGGUGAGCACACCAGAGAAAAAAAUACAGAAGAAAGAUGCCAAACACAAUGUUUUUUUGUGGAAUUUGUCUUCCUUGGUCCUGAUAAUGGCUCUCUCCCUGGAUUCAUCUGAGUUGAAGUUCAGAGCCUCUCUGAGACACUCUGCAAGAGAUGGAGAGAACAGUGUGGCCCCAGUGCAAGGCAAAUGCGUACUUCAAAGGAAGAGGAAGUGACUGUCGCUGUAUUCUCACCAGAGAGGAAGGAAGAAAGGAAGACUUUUUUGUGUGCCUAUUGCUUGGAGUUUACUAGUUUACUGCUAUAUUGAUGUUCACUCUUGUAUACAGAGAAGAGAGAAGGAAGGAAGGGGAAUAAAGAGAAACAAGGAGUCUCAUCAGUUCUGUCCCAAAUCAAAUCAACCAAACGUAUGUGAAAUUUGUACAAAGUAUUUACCUGUUAACUUUUAUGUGAUACUUGUAUUAAAAGUUAACAAUAGUAUAAUCAUUUUCCUUUCAAAAGCCUCUGAAGUUUCAGGCUGGUUUAGAUUGCAUUUUCAGAGUCCAUGGUAUUAACAAAAAUGUAGAUAUUAAUUAAAUUCAUAGAAACUGUUUAGAAUAAACGUGUCAAAAAAUUU